This 71-nucleotide transfer RNA is filed under the name Olea europaea subsp. europaea. It matches the Rfam family "tRNA". From Rfam's summary of the family: Transfer RNA (tRNA) molecules are approximately 80 nucleotides in length. Their secondary structure includes four short double-helical elements and three loops (D, anti-codon, and T loops). Further hydrogen bonds mediate the characteristic L-shaped molecular structure. tRNAs have two regions of fundamental functional importance: the anti-codon, which is responsible for specific mRNA codon recognition, and the 3' end, to which the tRNAs corresponding amino acid is attached (by aminoacyl-tRNA synthetases). tRNAs cope with the degeneracy of the genetic code in two manners: having more than one tRNA (with a specific anti-codon) for a particular amino acid; and 'wobble' base-pairing, i.e. permitting non-standard base-pairing at the 3rd anti-codon position. The record is from Rfam by way of RNAcentral. Lineage: Eukaryota; Viridiplantae; Streptophyta; Magnoliopsida; Lamiales; Oleaceae.
GCAGAUAUGGUUGAAUGGUAAAAAUUCUCUUUGCCAAGGAGAAGAAGCGGGUUUGAUUCCCACUAUCCGCC